RNAcentral lists this ribosomal RNA (438 nucleotides) under uncultured bacterium. Its description in RNAcentral is "bacterial SSU rRNA". It matches the Rfam family "Bacterial small subunit ribosomal RNA", at positions 338 to 790 of the family's 1533-position model. The record is from RNAcentral.
CCUACGGGAGGCAGCAGUGGGGAAUAUUGGGCAAUGGGCGCAAGCCUGACCCAGCAACGCCGCGUGAAGGAAGAAGGCCCUCGGGUUGUAAACUUCUUUUAUUCGGGACGAAACAAAUGACGGUACCGAAUGAAUAAGCCACGGCUAACUACGUGCCAGCAGCCGCGGUAAUACGUAGGUGGCAAGCGUUAUCCGGAUUUACUGGGUGUAAAGGGCGUGUAGGCGGGAGAGCAAGUCAGACGUGAAAUUCCAGGGCUCAACCCUGGAACUGCGUUUGAAACUGUUCUUCUUGAGUGAUGGAGAGGCAGGCGGAAUUCCGUGUGUAGCGGUGAAAUGCGUAGAUAUACGGAGGAACACCAGUGGCGAAGGCGGCCUGCUGGACAUUAACUGACGCUGAGGCGCGAAAGCGUGGGGAGCAAACAGGAUUAGAUACCCGAG